GGCAAGAUGACCGAGUGGUUAAGGUAAAUUUGCACUGCCCUCACACAAUCGAUCGACCUCAUCUAACAGGAAAAUAGGUGUAUGACUCAAGCUAUAGCUUGUCCUAGACAACUAGGGUUACUUCAUAUGUCGCAAGACGCGUGGGUUCGAAUCCCACUCUUGUCA
This is a non-coding RNA of Aspergillus flavus AF70, 165 nucleotides long. The record is from Rfam. Lineage: Eukaryota; Fungi; Ascomycota; Eurotiomycetes; Eurotiales; Aspergillaceae.